RNAcentral lists this long non-coding RNA (6503 nucleotides) under Sus scrofa (pig). Its description in RNAcentral is "lncRNA (ENSSSCG00040028616.1)". Lineage: Eukaryota; Metazoa; Chordata; Mammalia; Artiodactyla; Suidae. The record is from RNAcentral.
UUGUUUUUUGUUUUGCUUUUUAGGGCCACACCUGCGUCAUAUGGAAGUUCGCAGGUUAGGCGUCGAAUUGGAGCUGCAGCUGCCAGCCUGCACCACAGCCACAGCAACGUGGAAGCUGAGCCUGCAAACUAUGCCACAGCUCACGGCAAUGCCAGAUCCUUAACCCACUGAGCAGGGCUGGGGGUUGAACUCACAUCCUCAUGCUUGCCGGUUGGAUUCAUUUCCACUGAACCAGGAAGGGAACUCCCUCAAUCCUUCUUUUUCAAAAAAAGAAAGGAAGGGGCCUGUGUCUUGGGGAUUAGAAGUAGGCCUCCCACCUCCCAGACCCUCCACUUCCUCAAGACCCAUCCUCUCUUGCAGAAACUUAGUGAGAAACACAUAUUUCUUAUGGAUCACAUUUUCACCCCAGUUCUAAACAGAAAAUGCUUAACUUGCUCUCUCGCACCCCUAAUAUUUGACUGUUCCUUCUCUAUAUCCACCUGGUGCCAAGUCCGAGCAAACCUUUUCUGCUCCAUAUUUAUAGCCACGUUUGCAUUUUCAGGUUUUUCUCAUUGUUACUCUUGUCCUUUUCUUCCCAGAAAUUCCUCCCCCUCAAUUCCUUACCCGAACAUAGAUUAAAAUCUCCCAAAUCGGCACCCUUAGCCCCUACCUUCUAGCAAUAAGGGUGGACCCAGCAGCACUGGUGCUUGAGAAAGAGCGAGGGAAGGGAACAGAAUGUAUGAGAGGGAACAGCGCAGGUGCUUCCAAGAGUUAGCGGUUCCAGGCCUCCAGGACACAGUUAAAACCUAGCCCUGGUCAACCCAGCCAACGCUGGGGCUCCAGGAAGGUCUCCCUUCUAAAGGGACGGACCUGUGCUACCAAACCUGCAUUCUAAAAAUAAGCAAACAAAUUUUGUCAUCCAAAAGCACACAGAUUUGGGAAACGGGUAAAUGCUUGGAAAGAACUAAGAAGGCAAAUUAAGCUCGCAAUUAAGACUCACUCCCUGCCUGGCGAGCUGAAUUUUCAGUGGUAAAGAGAAAGGAGAUUUGAAGGACGCUCCAAACUCAGCCCGAGCUGCCACAAAGCCCCAGGAGGACCCAGGCCACCCCUUUCAAGACUUCUGUCCCCACAAUAGGCCUCCCUCAGGCCUCAGCCUUCCCCGGGCGAUUAACAUGCAACGGCGGAGCUCCCAGGACAGGGAAUUUAUUCUGCGGGGGAGGCUGGGAGGUGCAGGGGGUCAGGUGGCUCCUCGUUAAAUCACUCUGCUGUCAGUCCCACACAAUUCCUCUCCCCUCCAGCUCAGUCAUUACUUGGGUUUAUGCAAAAUAAACAGCUUUGCUAAAUAUUCCCCCAGACGGGGCCCACAAAGGCCCGGGCUAAGGGGGCCGAGUGCACCCAGGGACCCAGAAAACUGUCUGCUCCCCCCACUGCCCCCGCCUUGUUCAGCAGCUCGGGCCCCGGGGGCCUGGACGUCCAUCUCUCAGUCUGCUGCAAGUUUUUCUUUUUUCUUUGCGGUUGGUUUUGUGUUUAGCUGUUCUUCUUUCUUUUUUGGUAAUUCCUCCCAAGACGCUGCCAUGAAUACUGUUAACUUAUUCUUGUCCGGCUCUAACUCACUCGCUCCACUUUCUUUCUUGAGCCCCGUAAGACUUACAAUCCCCACUUUUCUAUAGGGGAACUGAGCCAUGAGAAAUCUCUUACAAACGCUCCCAGAAAGGAGCCGGUUCUCAGAAGAUCCUUCAAGCCCAGGCUGGGCGGAGGGGGCAGUGGGCGCCCAGCAAGAAUCCUAAUUGUCCCAGAGCCACACACAGGCCCCGAGUGGGGGAGGGGAGCUGCGGGGCAGGCCCACCCUGCUUGGAACCUGACUCUCCCUUUCUCGGGGAGCUGCAUUUGCUCAUUCACCCUGAAUUCACCCCCCCCCAUUUCUGUCCACCGGCAAAAACUAAGCAUGAAUAAGAAGCUUCUAGAAGCUGUGGCAACUCAGCCCUCCUCCCAGACCACUUGGGGACAGGCUGGGCUACUGAGAUAUCUGAGAUGGUCUCCUAAGGCAACCUUAGUUUAAAAGCUAAUGAUUAUGUGUGCAGGUGGCAGGAGCUGGAUGAGGCAAGGUCACAGUCCCCAUUCUGCACACAGGGAGCCUGAAGCAUGGCAGACAGGUGGCGGGCUACCCACCCCACUCCCCAACUUCAAGUUCCCAGUAUCUGCCAGAGAAGCGGCAUUAACCCCAGCUGGUGUGGGUGCUCCAGAAGUGGUCCCGGAGAAAGAAUGUGAGUGCAACGGGGUUAUUUUGGAGGUGACAGGCCACCUUACGGCACCAGGGACAAGCAAGGUGGGAAGGCCAACCAGGGCAUCUAUACACUCCCGGCCCCUCUGGGAAACGGCUUGACAUGGCCAGGACACUGAGAGCAGGGUACAGAGCUACUGAUCGCAGGUGGGGGAGCUGGGGCACUGAUGUACCAGUUCUGCCAAAGCCAUCCAUUUUCAGGUGUUAACUUGGAGCCCUGGCCUGCCUCCAGGCCAGCAGCAAGAGAAAGCCCUCGAGCACACACGCCAGCGCCUGGGUCCACUGACGUGGUCAGGAGGUGGCAGCAAGAGCAGUCCACGUGUUCUCUGCUGCAGGCACUCACGGUCUAGUUCUAAACCAGCAGCCACCCCUAUGCCGGCUGUGAGGCACAGAGCAGGCUUCACGCACCCACUUUUCUGAGGUGCAAAUAGAGGCCUGUGCCCCACCCAACAGCCCACAGGCCUUCCUGACUUCCUGCCCCCAAAACCAACACUGAAAGGACCACCUGGUUCCAUGGCCCAGACCUUGGUCCUCCUGGACCUGCAGAAACCUCUCCUGAAACAAACCUCCCCCUGGUGACCCAGGAGAACCUUCAAGAGGUCAAAAGCAAGGAGAGGACGCCAGUGGGACUUGAGCCAAGAGGUCAGAUCUUCCCUUCCCUCAGCCCUCAGUGCGGUGGCAUGGGGGUGGCGAAGACACACACCACAGACAAGGCUUUAAGAAACGCCCAUCCAGGGUGCUGGGUUAAGGAGUCCAAGGAGGUGACUACAAUUUGCAUCGUCAAGCAGGUCAGGAGGUAAACAGUCCUGCAGGGUGCAGAGGGGAGGGGGCCUCACUGGAGUCUGGUGCUGGUCACACAUAUGGGGUGAGGGAGGAAGAGGGGCCCCCCUCUUCCAGGAGUCUAACGUUGACGAUGGUACGAUGCCUCCAUCUUGUUCUGAUUUGCCCAAUUCUUUAUGUCCUCGUGUGCGUGCGCAGGCGCGUGCACAAACGCAGACUGGGUACACACCACCUCAGUGGAGAUCCAAACAGUCCCAACACCACAAGGAUCUCAUGCGCCCUUUUACAGCCACAUCACACAUCCACCUCCCACCCACACCCACAUCUCUCUGCCACCCUAACAACAACCAUUUCUCUGUUCUCCAUGGCUAACGGUUUACCAUUUCCAAAACUUUUAUCUCCACGGAUACUUUGUAACCUUUUGGGAUUGGUUUUGUCCCUCAGCAUCAUUCCCUAGCGCGUCACCAAAGCUGGUGCGACUAUCAAAAGUGUUCCUCUGGAGAAAACCAUAAUGUGAAAAGAUCCAUGCACCCCAAUGUUCACGGCAGCACUGUUUACAAUAGCCAAGACAUGGAAGUAGCCUAAAUGUCCAUCAACAGAUGAAUGGAUAAAGAAGAUGUGGUACAUAAACCCAAUGGAAUACUACUAGGCCAAAAAAACCACAAAAGAAUGCCAUUUGCAACAGCACAGAUGGACCCAGAGAUUAUUAUACUAAAGUGAAGUAAGUCAGAGAGUGAAAGACAAAUAUCAUAUGAUAUUCCUUAAAUGUGGAAUCUUUAAAAAUGAUACAAAUGGGAGUUCCCGUCGUGGCACAGUGGUUAACGAAUCCGACUAGGAAUCAUGAGGCUUUUCUAAUUGGAUCGUUUCUUUUGUUCCUGUAGAGUUUUGAGAACACUUUAUAUAUUCUGGAUACUAGUCCUUGGUCAGAUCUGUGGUUUGCAAAGAUUUUCUCCCAGCCUGGAGCUUGUCUUUUCAUCCUCUUCACCAGGGCUUUUGAAGAGCAAACUUUUAAAAUUUUUGCGGAGGUCCAAUAUGUUGGUAUUUCCUUUUGUGAAUCAUGCUUUUGGGGUCCAAAUCCUAUGCCUGGCUGGCUCUGGAUCCUGCAGACUCUUUUUCUCAAAAAACAAAAAAACAAAAAAAAAAAAAACAAAAGUUGUGUCGCUUUAGAUUUUACAUCCACAUGGCAUUUUCAUUUCUCAUUCCUUUCUCGGGUGGGGACAUGUGCACACGUGCUGAGAUGGGCAGUGUUCUUUCUCCAUCUCUACCUGCCAACCACCAUCUAAGGACGGGUCCAGGUGGCUUACAAGUUGGUAGGAAAGAUGAAGUGCAAAGAGCCAUUUAAGCUUCCUUAGAACAUCUCAACUGGCUAAACCUGUCCCACUUGUCUUCUCAUCUUUAUGAGCAGCCUUUAUGACAGGUGGGGCCAGAAAAGGACUGAAAGAGAAGAGACAACUUCUCUGUGGUUCCCUGCUUUCCUUCUCCCUGAGGACCAGGUAUAAGAUGUGUUCUGGUCCCCUGAGGUCCCUGGGGUUUGUGACCUAAAGACCUCACUGGGCUCUGAGGCCAUCUAGCCCAGCCCCUCUGCACUGUACCCCCUGCUCUCAGGACAGGGAGACCUGGUUCCCAUCUGCUGCCGGGAUGGCAGCUCCACCACCUCCGUUUUACCCAAACAUGGGGAAAACCAGAACUUUAAGUGACUGCUAACUGCCAGGCCUGUGAAUGCUUUGCACUCUCUGGAAAGCAGGAUUCGGUGCCCCGAUCUCGCCAAAGCUGGCCCAUCUGGGUCACCUGGAGGGCCUCUGAGUGGAGCCCAGGCUCAGGUGGUGACUCCUGGCCCCAAACUGACCCCCUACCCAUGGCAACCCUGAAUAGAGGCCCAUUUGAGGAAAACUAUUGUCACUGAUGAUAAGCAACUUAUAUCCCAGGGUUCCAACUGUGAUGAAAGAAAACCCCUGGUGGUUUCUGCAUGCAGAUGGGCAUCUGAAAACUCCACAUCGUUCCCAUUCAAACCCAACCCAACCACAGACGCGUCUACACGGAACAGCGAGCUUCCUAGGGGAGCAUGGCCCUAGGGUCCGUGUGUCACUAACCGCUGCCUACCCUCCCCUGACUCUCACGGCACAGGGUUCAAGUCCUUUGUGCUUGAAGAAGGAAAAAAAGAAGGCCAUGAAAAAUAAGACAAUAAAUGUGACCAAACUUUGGGUCUCAUUCCUGAUGCUGAGCCACAGUGUCCCAUCGAGAGAAAAAUGAACCACCACCAGGCGUCACAGAUGGCCCAGAAAAACACCCAAACUGAAACCCCAAACCUCUCCUGUCUGGCCAAAAAAGACAGCACAGCGAUGGAUUGCAGGGCAUUCUGGCAACUGAACAUGUUUACCCCGGUGGUGGGGGUGGGGGUGGGGGUGGGGAUGGGGAUGGGGGGCUGCCCGCCAUAAGCAAAGCCCUCCCACCGCCCCCACAUCCCUUGCUCACUGGGGGCUCUUUACAGCAUCCAGCCAGACAGGCAAAGGCAGGUGACAGGGUAGGGGCUUAAGGGGACCCUUGCAGGGCUGGACUGCAGGAAGGCCACUCCAAAUCACUUUGGCAAACUUGAACCAAGCCACAGGCCACCCGAGCUGGCAAAAAAACAAGAGUCUAAGGGCCAGGUCCCGCCAGCCGUGUCUGAGCCUCUGUCGCCCAGCCUCUCCCCUCCUCGGAGUGGGUGCCCCUGGUCCCUCUCUGAGUGAGCAAUAAAAGAAGGCUGUGAGCGCACGUCCCAAGCCUGAGCCGGCUGUCACACUGACUGAGCACCACGCCAGGAGUCUGGCCCCCUCGAGGACCUGGGCAAACGCUGGUAUGAAGCCCUCCCCUUCCUCUUAAGGGUUUGCUCAGCAGCCACUCCACCGUUUCCCCAGGAGGAGACCCCCGACCCUGACAACCCAUCAAGUGGAUGCAAAUCGUGGCCCAGACAAAACCAAGCAAACAGCACCCCGCUCUGGAAUAAUGGCCUCGGUGGGAGAAGAGCCCUCACAACAAUGAUGGCUGUGUACACAGCCUACUAAAUACCCAAACUUUUGAUUAGCCUCAAUGAUCUGUGUGUGCACCCGCCUCCUUUGAAACGCUCCCAAGUACACGCACAAGUUGACUCAAGGCUAACCGCAAACAGUGGCCAGCCUGGGCCUUGUCGCCACCAGACACAGCCCUCGCUGCUGUGGAUCCCCCGCCUCCUGGCACUCCAACACCCAGCCCGGCAUGGAAAAGGACCCUCUUGAGAGGACGGUGAUCACAGGCUCCAUGCUCUGGCAAGAAAGGAUCUAAUCUGAUGAGCAUCCAUCCGGGUUCGCUGUUGGGGGGAUAUUCCCAGGUUGCCCUGGGGCAGCACCGUUACAGAAUGGGCUGCUCCCCCCCCACGCUGCUAUGGUGGGGAUCCCUGUGGCCUGCACUGUCAAAAAUGUGCCCUUUUUUGGACAGGGCUUCAGGCACC